This is a long non-coding RNA of Setaria italica (foxtail millet), 1330 nucleotides long. RefSeq lists it as uncharacterized. The transcript has 6 exons. The record is from RefSeq and is a predicted model, not a curated record. NCBI's taxonomy places the organism in Eukaryota, Viridiplantae, Streptophyta, Magnoliopsida, Poales, Poaceae.
UCUGUCCUCUCCCUCCCUCGCCGACCCGCCCCAACCGACCGGCGAGCCGUGGUGCCCGCCCUCAUCGCCGGUGCUUGGCCCAUGGAUGCUUCUCCAUGAAAUCGCACUGGUCGUCAUCAUCUUCUACGAGGCCUUGAACUGCGACGGCGAGAUGCGGCCCCUCUACCUUCCUCUGACUUUCUCCCCUGCCGGAGCACCUGCCCCCGCUCCUGCUGCUGCGAUUCCUCAGGGCUUGGUGGUAUCGAUGCAGGACGUCGUUGGGCUUAUUGUUUCUUUCCUCCUCACAUGUGCAUCCAUGAAUCGAUGGAACGCCCAUAUUAUGUGUUGUCAUGGAUUCAGGAUAGUCAUCAGCUCAAGAAUUUGAAUUUAAAAUGAAUUCAGUAAUAUGAAUUUGUUAUGGAUUCAAAUUCUUCGUACUUCAUUCUCCUAUGUGCUAUUUCGUUAUGUGUCUUCAGAUGGAAGUUAUUUGCUAGUUUUCUAUUUGUUGAAAUACUAGCAAUAUUACUAGAAGAGCACCAAGAGACCUGGAGUCUGGAAGAUAGUGCAGGUGGCUGGUACCAAUGUUAAUGAUGAUACGCAUUCGGCGCCGCUUUUGCAAGUGCGUGACCAUGGUGUCUCAGCUAUGAGAUACCAGAAUUGGCUUGUAGCAACAGUUGUUCAUAGUUUGACUGCGAUUCUCUACACAUUCAAGGAGCAGUUACUGGCCAAAGUUUCAGAUAGCACUUGGACACUACUUUUCAGGAGUUUGGGUCCUUUUAUCUUCCUCAGUGUCAGCUUGGUGCUGUUGAUAAUUUUGGCGCGUCAUUAUUCUAUUUCUGAGGCAGCAAGAAUUGUUAUCGGCUCUUUCUGCAUAUCAUAUCUGUUGAUUGUGCUUACUGACAGCCUUUGUUACAAGAAUACCAUCAUAUUGGAGAUUAUGCUUAUUCUUCUCACUGUGUGCAUGCACACCCUGCGCUUUGUGAGCCAGGUUUGAUCAAUUCAAUUGUUUAAGUAUUUGGCAUAAUUUCACUGCAUAAUCAAUGUAACAGAUAGUUGAACUCAAAGUUAAUGCUUAGGCUACACUGAUAAACAAAAAUAGACAUACAACUAAGGUUUUGAAUAGGUACUUUGUUAAUUGCAAUUUGGACUGUAGGCAUAUGUAUCGUUUUUCAUGGUUUUAUAAUGUUUCACAUAUGCUUGGUGAUUUCCGAUAACAAUGCAGGGUGCAUCUACAAAGAUCGAGGUGAUACCUCUGUUAGUUGCAAUCCUGGGGGUCAUUCCUGGUAUUUCUUGCAUCGUUACAAUAAGAAAUGAGCUUGAGCUUCUACCACCUGGUAUACAGCAUCAUGCA